GUUUAUGGCUCAUUACGGCUCUCAACGCGCUCGCCUAAUGCCUGCCAAAUGUACUGAGCGCAAAACAGCGUUAUUGUUUCUUAAUCUGUUUGCCUGACGACAUCGCCACCAUCAUCACCAUCACCAUCAUCACCGGAAUAGAAGUCGAUGAGAUAAGAGGAUUUGUUUGGGGAGGAACAGGAAAGCAGCUUUUUGAAUUAAUAAACUAUUACUAGUAUUCAUAAAGCCAGCUUAAAGUAGUUCAAAAUAAUAGGAAAGAAAUUGACUUGAAUUCAUAAAGGAAUAAUAAAUAUGGUUUCAUUCUCUAAAUAGAAACAUUCUGCGCAAUUUAUUACUAAUUGCCAAUAUUAAUUCCGCAAACAAUUGUCAUCAUGAUAGAAAUCGCAUCAAACACAAUAUAAUUCGCAAUCUCAUUCGGUACACCCGACGAUGUCUACAAAUCAUCAAUCACCUGAAUGGUAGACCAAACUCGAGAGCCGAAAUUCCCAAUUAAAAUGCAAUAAGCGUAGUAAGAAAUAUGUAUUCUCCAGUCUCAUACUGGAAUCACGUUCAAGGCCAGUCUAUAUCUAGGCGAUUCCAUCACCAGAGAUCGGCGGAGAAUAAGAGGUAAUUAGAAUGCGAGGGAAAUUUUUGUUUUGGCUUGACAAAAACUAUCGCAGUAAGAAUAGAAAAUAAACCUAUGCCCAGCAGAAUGAUGUGAGCAAAACAGAAAUGGCCAUAAAUCGGAUCAGAGUCCAUAAGUGCGACAUCAUAAAUAAGUCAUGAGUGCGAAUUUUGGCCAACUAUAGGACUAUAUAAGAGUGCUGGCAGGUGGGGAACAGCAUCAAAUCACAAACUGCAAUCGCUACACAAGCACCUCACGUCCUCAAGGAAAAUCAAAGCAAACAACAUGUUCAAGCUGCUGGUUGUCGUUUUCGCUGCCCUCUUCGCCGCUGCUCUGGCUGUGCCCGCUCCAGUUGCCCGUGCCAAUCCCGCUCCAAUCCCGAUUGCCAGCCCCGAGCCCGCCCCCCAGUUCUACUACGGAGCUAGCCCAUACGCCUACUCCGGAGGAUACUACGCUUCGCCCUACUCCUACUACGGCUAAGUGCCCUGGACCAUGCAUUGCAAUGCAAACCGACAAACGACUCGUGAUUAUGCAUCUGAAUACGGAUUACGGAUAUGCGCGUGCUGGCAAAUCAAAUUAGUCAUAAGUGCUUGAAAAAUGCAAAAAAAAAAAAUUACAAAAGUUGAGCAAAUAAAAUGUUGAAUAGCAAAUUAUCAUGCAUUUACGAGGCCAUCGCUUCAAA
Drosophila simulans is the source of this 1286-nucleotide RNA transcript. It is a transcript of the gene named neuropeptide-like 4, with no coding region annotated. NCBI's taxonomy places the organism in Eukaryota, Metazoa, Arthropoda, Insecta, Diptera, Drosophilidae. The record is from RefSeq and is a predicted model, not a curated record. The transcript has 4 exons.